Molecule: long non-coding RNA, 486 nt
Organism: Aethina tumida (small hive beetle)
Lineage: Eukaryota; Metazoa; Arthropoda; Insecta; Coleoptera; Nitidulidae
Exons: 2
Source: RefSeq, a predicted model, not a curated record
UAUGACAGUACGAUAAAUAUGGCUGACGAUCUUUGUGAUACUUGUGAGCAGUUUGGAAUUAAAAGAGGGACUAGUUUCUUUCAUCAGAUUACUCCAUGUGAAUUAUGCAUCUUAAUACUGAUAUUGAACAUGCUUGUUACAUUCAUGAGUCUCGCCGUCGCCCUUGUGAUUCUAAAUGUUAUGCCUUAUAAGACUCCAGAGGAUGACAAUCCACCCCUUCCAAAACCCAUUCCUCCAUCAGAACUGGGACCCCGUGUUAAACAUUCCAAAUCACCCAGAAAUUUCAGAGAAGUAAACUAUUGCAAUGACUCCGCUUGUCUGUUGAAUUCUGGAAAUAGAAGUUGCGGAACCAGCUGUAUUAAAAAACUUGAUUCUUGGAAGCCCAUAAAAAACUACACUGUUGUUUAAAUUACAUUUUUUUUAAUUAAUAUUAUACUAGAUUUAAUUCAUUUGUAAUCAAAGUAACAAUAAAAAUUUACAGUAUUA